Nicotiana tabacum (common tobacco) is the source of this 882-nucleotide long non-coding RNA. RefSeq lists it as uncharacterized. The record is from RefSeq and is a predicted model, not a curated record. NCBI's taxonomy places the organism in Eukaryota, Viridiplantae, Streptophyta, Magnoliopsida, Solanales, Solanaceae.
CUGCUUCUUUGUAAAUUUUGGUAGCAACUUUUAGGGCUCGUUUUCUCUCUCUCUCUCUCUCUCUCUCUCGCUCUCUCGCUUCUCCUUCCGCUCAUUUCUCUUGUUCCUUUUCUCUCUCCAGUGGCCCUAAAAAUCUGUUUGGGAGUUAUAACCUACACUUCAGAUAAAAAUCCCUUUCAAGAAUUGUUCAUAAAGAGCCCAAUUGGUAGCACGAUGAACCAGGAAUUAGAAACCUCGGCAAUUGAAUUGCUUAUGAACAGAGAUGGCAGCAUCAACUUCAGUGGAUUAAUUGUGACAUGUUGUGAUCAAGUUGAAGAGUACAUAUGUUGCUGAAGCUUUUCGAAAAAUAAUAGAUAUAAGCUCCCCCCCUACAAUUUCAUGGCAGUUAUCUUUGUUCUUUCUUUUUCAUUUCAUAUGUUAGAUUUAUAUACUAACUGAUGCAUUCCGUUGGUGUGUAAUAGGAGUUUAUGAAGUGUUGUUGGAAAUAAAUAAUGGUUGUCCAAGAAAGACUUGGAAGCCUAGAUUGUACCUUGGAGUAAAGAGUGCUUAGGGUCCUUUUGGAUUUCCAAGUGCAAUGAACAAAGCCAUAAGUGAAAAUGCAUUGUGGAACUUAGUUUGCUCUGCAAUACUGCGUGAUUUUUGUACAACAUGGAAAAAAUUGUUCAAGAACAAUGGAGGUACUAGAGUUUUAAAAAAAAAUGGUAGUUAACUGAGCUAAGAAACUAGAGUAAUUUAGAGAAUAUGUGUGAUAAAGUUUGGCAGGAAGCGGAAGAGAGACAUGGCUACUUGGUCUAUAUAUUUUAAUCUGUUCAAGAUGCAUAUUUAUGACUUUUUAAAGAUCUAUUUGGCCAUUGUAACAUUCAAGUUGGUUUAGACAUUUCA